GACGAACGCUGGCGGCGUGCCUAAUACAUGCAAGUUGAGCGCUGAAGGUUGGUACUUGUACCAACUGGAUGAGCAGCAAACGGGUGAGUAACGCGUGGGGAAUCUGCCUUUGAGCGGGGGACAACAUUUGGAAACGAAUGCUAAUACAGCAUAAAAACUUUAAACACAAGUUUUAAGUUUGAAAGACGCAAUUGCAUCACUCAAAGAUGAUCCCGCGUUGUAUUAGCUAGUUGGUGAGGUAAAGGCUCACCAAGGCGAUGAUACAUAGCCGACCUGAGAGGGUGAUCGGCCACAUUGGGACUGAGACACGGCCCAAACUCCUACGGGAGGCAGCAGUAGGGAAUCUUCGGCAAUGGACGAAAGUCUGACCGAGCAACGCCGCGUGAGUGAAGAAGGUUUUCGGAUCGUAAAACUCUGUUGGUAGAGAAGAACGUUGGUGAGAGUGGAAAGCUCAUCAAGUGACGGUAACUACCCAGAAAGGGACGGCUAACUACGUG
RNAcentral lists this ribosomal RNA (497 nucleotides) under uncultured bacterium. RNAcentral describes it as "partial 16S ribosomal RNA". It matches the Rfam family "Bacterial small subunit ribosomal RNA", at positions 28 to 507 of the family's 1533-position model. The record is from RNAcentral.